CCUACGGGAGGCAGCAGUGAGGAAUAUUGGUCAAUGGCCGGAAGGCUGAACCAGCCAAGCCGCGUGAAGGACGAAGGUGCCAAGCAUUGUAAACUUCUUUUGUCAAGGGACAAAAUCAGGCUCGAGAGCCUGACCGAGGGUACUUGAAGAAAAAGCAUCGGCUAACUCCGUGCCAGCAGCCGCGGUAAUACGGAGGAUGCGAGCGUUAUCCGGAUUUAUUGGGUUUAAAGGGUGCGUAGGCGGGCUGUUAAGUCAGCGGUAAAAGCCCGGGGCUCAACCCCGGCGAGCCGUUGAAACUGGCUGUCGUGAGAUGUCGUGAGGUAUGCGGAAUGCGCAGUGUAGCGGUGAAAUGCUUAGAUAUUGCGAAGAACUCCGAUUGCGAAGGCAGCAUACCGGCGGCGAUCUGACGCUGAGGCACGAAAGCGUGGGUAUCGAACAGGAUUAGAUACCCCAGUAGUC
Molecule: ribosomal RNA, 459 nt
Filed under: uncultured bacterium
Lineage: Bacteria
Description: partial 16S ribosomal RNA
Rfam family: Bacterial small subunit ribosomal RNA
Source: RNAcentral